GUUCGGAUUACUGGGCGUAAAGCGCACGUAGGCGGAUUGGAAAGUUGGGGGUGAAAUCCCGGGGCUCAACCCCGGAACUGCCUCCAAAACUAUCAGUCUAGAGUUCGAGAGAGGUGAGUGGAAUUCCAAGUGUAGAGGUGAAAUUCGUAGAUAUUUGGAGGAACACCAGUGGCGAAGGCGGCUCACUGGCUCGAUACUGACGCUGAGGUGCGAAAGUGUGGGGAGCAAACAGGAUUAGAUACCCUGGUAGUCCACACCGUAAACGAUGAAUGCCAGUCGUCGGGCAGUAUACUGUUCGGUGACACACCUAACGGAUUAAGCAUUCCGCCUGGGGAGUACGGUCGCAAGAUUAAAACUCAAAUGAAUUGACGGGGGCCCGCACAAGCGGUGGAGCAUGUGGUUUAAUUCGAUGCAACGCGAAGAACCUUACCUACUCUUGACAUACUAGAAACUUUUCAGAGAUGAAUUGGUGCCUUCGGGAAUCUAGAUACAGGUGCUGCAUGGCU
RNAcentral lists this ribosomal RNA (506 nucleotides) under uncultured Paracoccaceae bacterium. RNAcentral describes it as "bacterial SSU rRNA". It matches the Rfam family "Bacterial small subunit ribosomal RNA", at positions 543 to 1050 of the family's 1533-position model. Lineage: Bacteria; Pseudomonadati; Pseudomonadota; Alphaproteobacteria; Rhodobacterales; Paracoccaceae. The record is from RNAcentral.